UUUUUUUUUUCUAAAUCUUUUUCUCGUAGAUUCGCAUCUUAUAACCUGAAAAUUCUUUAUCUUUUACUCAUUUAAUUUGUAGGCAUUAAUCUAGUAUGUCUGACCCCUUCAUUAGGUAUCACCAUAUUCUGUCACUUCACUCAGCCGACAGUAAUUAAUGUCCGAUAGUAUUUUCUUACUAUAUAUAAAAAUUACGCAAAUGUAUUGAAUUUUGAUUCGCUUAGUCUACAGACGUGAUCCAUAAAAUUUAUCCACAAUGAAGCCUAUA
This 268-nucleotide long non-coding RNA is filed under the name Ananas comosus (pineapple). Its description in RNAcentral is "long non-coding RNA (ACOM_LNC011295)". The record is from RNAcentral. Lineage: Eukaryota; Viridiplantae; Streptophyta; Magnoliopsida; Poales; Bromeliaceae.